ACCAGACUCCUACGGGAGGCAGCAGUGGGGGAUACUGCACAAUGGGGGGAACCCUGAUGCAGCGACGCCGCGUGGGUGAAGGAGCGUUUCGGCGCGUAAAGCCCUAUCGGCAGGGAAGAAGGAGGACGGUACCUGACUAAGAAGCCCCGGCUAACUACGUGCCAGCAGCCGCGGUAAUACGUAGGGGGCAAGCGUUAUCCGGGUUUACUGGGUGUAAAGGGGGCGCAGACGGCAGCGCAAGCCAGGAGUGAAAGCCCGGGGCCCAACCCCGGGACUGCUCUUGGAACUGCGAGGCUGGAGUGUCGGAGAGGCAGGCGGAAUUCCUAGUGUAGCGGUGAAAUGCGUAGAUAUUAGGAGGAACACCAGUGGCGAAGGCGGCCUGCUGGACGAUGACUGACGCUGAGGCUCGAAAGCGUGGGGAGCAAACAGGAUUAGAUACCCCUGUAC
Molecule: ribosomal RNA, 447 nt
Filed under: uncultured bacterium
Lineage: Bacteria
Description: partial 16S ribosomal RNA
Rfam family: Bacterial small subunit ribosomal RNA
Source: RNAcentral